GAGAAGUUAGAGAAAAAAGAAAGAAAGGAGUCUUUAAGAAAAAGACGAAGGAGUACAAGAAAAAUGAUAAAAUUUUGACUCAAAAUGAGAGAGGGAAAUCACUGAGUUAGAUCUACAUCAGCUAAUACUGUUGAGGUCACUCCUUUAGUUACAGCUGAAGAUAGACUCUCUAUUUCAGAUUCUGGGUCAGAGUGGGAGAAAGAGGUGAAGAUGGAGGUGAGGAAAUUUAAAAAAAGACAGAAGGAAGAAAGAUGGGGUUGUUAUAACUAAUGUAAUCAUCUAAAUUUUAAUACUGUAGAUUUGGAGUGAUGUUAUGAAGAACUAAAAAGAGAUCUCAAGAAAGAAUUUAAAAUUUAUUCAUUCACUCGUGUUGCGUGGAAUCCCUGGACCAAUGAGAGGAAUGGACCUUUAGUUGGCAACUGCUAGAAAAUUAUCUUUUUGAGACACUUAUAUUUAGAAAGAAAUCCUGCUAGAACAUUCCCAGAGCAUCCACUCUUUAAAGAGAAGGACCUGGAAUUCACUUUUAAACCAUUAUUAUUAAAGUAACGAGAGCAGGGUUGGGGCGAAGUACAUUGGUACUUGUACUUAAGUGCACUUAAGUACAUAUUUUUUGGUACUUGUACUUAUACUUAAGUCUUUUUUAAAUUUUACCAAUGUACUUGUACUUAUACUUAAGUAUUAGUCUAUGUACUUGAUGUACUUGAUGUACUUAUAAGUCUUUUAAGUACUUUUAAGUCUUUUUAAGCACAGAUUGUAUAAUGUGUAUAUUAUUACCACAGCUAGUGUGAUUACAUGUACUUUCAAUACUAUAUCAGUGUAUCAUAGAAAGCAAGUGCAAAUUCUAGUAUCACUACUUUGUCUUUAGCUGGGUAGUUGGCCAGUCUUUUCACUUAUUUCUAACUGUAACUGAACAGGAGCUCAUGUUUUGAAGAUUAAUGUUCAUUACAUGUAAUAGUAAUUGAUAGUAAUAUAAUUAAAUCGACUCUAAAAAGUACUUACACUUAUACUUAAGUACAUAUCCAAGUAUUUGUACUUAUACUUAAGUACUUUUGUCAAAAGCGAUCAUGUACUUGUACUUAUACUUAAGUAUUUUGUAAAUGUACUUGGAUUUUACUUAAGUACUUUACAAAGUACUUCGCCCCAACCCUGAACGAGAGACAGAUAGAGAAGGAAGGUUAAUAAGUAAUCCUAACACUACAUAUAAUAAACAUAUAAUUAUUAUAUAACAUACAUAUAUACAUAAAAUAAUAAAUUAAAGUAAGGCCAAGUGGUCACUGUACUUUCCUAAAAAUGAUCCACAAAUUCCUAAUACAUACUGUAACAAGUGUCAUUUUCUUUCUAGUCAAUUUUAGGUAUAUUCUGUUUAUGACCCAGAGGUGGGCUGCUGCCAAUCGAGUUUGUGUAUUGCUGGAAUAAUGAAUGUACAUAUGCCUGAAGAAGAAGCAUUCUGUGUACUUCCUCACAUGAUGAGUUACCACAAUCUGAGAGCUAGAGCUAUAAAAGCCAACUAGCCAACCUGUCAGUCCGGUUUUACCAGCAGAAAACCCAGUUGAGGGUUUCUAUACUCUUAUGUACUCCAGCUCCUGGUUCCUGACUCUCUUUGCCUCCACUCUUCCUUUGUGUGCUGCACUUCAAAUACUAGAUAUACCUGGUAUUCCUGAUGGACGGGAUUGAGGUAAUAUUCUGUGUUGGUCUGGCACUAUUGGAGCGAAAGUCAAAGGAAACUCUUGAAGUUACACAUGGAAGACAUGACCAAAUCUGUAUCGGAGGAAGACUGUGACGCUCUAUUUGAGGCUGCCUUCAGAAUUAAAAUAUCUUCAAAAAAACUGAAAAGAUGAAGAAAAAGUACAAUUAAAGGAGGGAAAGGCAACAAGUAAAAAACUCGGAAUUAACUACUUCAAAAUGACAAUUAUGAGUUGGAAAAAUGAAUUUUAGCUCUAGAGAAGGAAUGUGCAGCUUUGACUGAUCGUCUAAUACAAGGGCAAGUGACCAGAGCCCAGGAAUAUGAAGAGGUGUAUGGUGUUAGAAGAGAAUUGACUACUUUAAGAAAGAAAGUGCCAUCCUUUGAGAAGAAAGAGGAAUCACAAAACAACCACGUACACAAUAAAUUUUGGUCAAAUACUCCUAAAAGUCCAUCAAAUGAAAUAUUUGUCUCCGUCAUCUUAAUAGAUUUUAGAGACAGAAUGCACAUCUGCUCUAUCAUUAAAAGACACUCCUCAACAGCCUCCACCUCAUUACUGGUUUCAAUUGAAGAAGGAAAUAAAGAACAGAACUCACAGGUAUCCACAACUGCUAAGGAAGAAACUCUGACAGCACUUCCAGAAACCUCACUAGCAGAUUAUUUUGAUGUUGAGACCCUCCUGUAGGAACUGCAUGGCCAUUGUUAAGAUUGAAUGUGCCGAGUGUGCUGAUCUCUUAAAGAGGAAGGUACUGGAACCAAGAAAACUGAAUAAGAAAUACUCAGAUGUACACUGAAAAGGAACUGAAGGAGACUAUAGCCCACCUCCAACAAGAGAAGAUGAGAAAAUUUGCCUCAAGUGUGGCUCCAAUGCUGUGUCCAUUAAUGGAGUAGCCUCAUCAUCAGUCAACUGUGAAUCAAGCAAGCAAGCAGUCACCAUAGACACCAUAGAAGACCAUAAACUACAGUUCAACAAGAUUUCAUCUAAUUUUAAUAAUGUGAUACAGACACCAUUAGAGUACAAUUCAAGAGGAAGCCUAUCCACGUACCAGUAUAUGAAACCAUUUACAUCUAUAGCUACUUCUCCUGGAGCUCCUGUGAACCAGUAUUCAGCAACCAUUGCCUGCCCUAUGUAUCAAUUGUACAACCAAUCAACACAGAAUGGUUACAUCUCUUUGGGUUCACAUACAAAUUACUCUCCUUAUUGUAGUUAUUUUCAUCAAUUAUUGUCAUCCAGGACUGCUGCACUCUCCUGUGCUGCUGGUAGGACAUCGCACAUUAAUGAGACUAUCUCAGAAGGCUCCAAUAGUGGACUCAUAGCUGGUGGCAAUGCUACUGCAAUGGCCAUGCAAGGUAGCAGCAAGACAUAGCACUCAUAGCCAUGUCUAUGAAUGUGCCCCACACAAGCCGGCUACUUUGAACAAGAUCUGCCAAUUCAUCAGAGACCAUUUCCCUUACUACUGGCAGAAUUGUAAGCAAGGCUGGGAGAGCUCUAUAUCAGGCACAAUCUUUCCUUAACAAGUGCUUUGUGAAACAGCCAUGGGAGCAAAGAUGCCCUGGAAAGGACACUACUGGACACUGGACAAAAAGCUCUGAGAAUAGCCAAUGCAAGAGGUGCUUUAAGAAGAGAGACGUUAUUGGAGUAGAAGACCAUCCAGAUAUGUUAUGGUGAAAUAAUAAUAGAUUAUUUAAUAUACCAGUAAUAGGAGUAGACACUGAUGAUGCUAGAGAGAGAGAG
This is a long non-coding RNA of Amphimedon queenslandica, 3416 nucleotides long. RefSeq lists it as uncharacterized. NCBI's taxonomy places the organism in Eukaryota, Metazoa, Porifera, Demospongiae, Haplosclerida, Niphatidae. The transcript has 13 exons. The record is from RefSeq and is a predicted model, not a curated record.